Long non-coding RNA from Xenia sp. Carnegie-2017, 241 nucleotides. RefSeq lists it as uncharacterized. The record is from RefSeq and is a predicted model, not a curated record. The transcript is spliced from 3 exons. Lineage: Eukaryota; Metazoa; Cnidaria; Anthozoa; Malacalcyonacea; Xeniidae.
UUCCGAAGCAACGAACAAAGAAGAGAAAAAUUGACGAAGACAGUAGCAGUGAUGAAGAAUGGUUACCUGGAAAAGAUGAAAAUUUUUUGCUAAAGAAAGUCAAGCCAAUCUUUAAAUCAACAUUUAGAAGCAGUUCCGUCACCAAGAAAUCUUCAAAUAAACAGGCUUCUUCGAAAAAAUUUUGUGCUCCUUCGGCCUCGUCAAAUAAUGAUUUUAAUUCAUCUGUUGAUGACAAUUCAAU